UGCAAGUCGUGGGGCAGCGCAGUGUAGCAAUACAUGGGCGGCGACCGGCAAACGGGUGCGGAACACGUACGCAACCUUCCUUUAAGUGGGGAAUAGCCCAGGGAAACUUGGAUUAAUACCCCGUAAUAUUAUGGAGUGGCAUCACUCUAUAAUUAUAGCUCCGGCGCUUAAAGAUGGGCGUGCGUCUGAUUAGGUAGUUGGCGGGGUAACGGCCCACCAAGCCUACGAUCAGUAACUGGUGUGAGAGCACGACCAGUCACACGGGCACUGAGACACGGGCCCGACUCCUACGGGAGGCAGCAGUAAGGAAUAUUGGUCAAUGGACGCAAGUCUGAACCAGCCAUGCCGCGUGAAGGAUGAAGGUCCUCUGGAUUGUAAACUUCUUUUAUUUGGGAAGAAAUCCACGGUUUCUACGGUGGUUGACGGUACCAGAUGAAUAAGCACCGGCUAACUCCGUGCCAGCAGCCGCGGUAAUACGGAGGGUGCAAGCGUUAUCCGGAUUCACUGGGUUUAAAGGGUGCGUAGGCGGGCAGGUAAGUCAGUGGUGAAAUCCCCGAGCUUAACUUGGGAACUGCCGUUGAUACUAUCUGUCUUGAAUACUGUGGAGGUAAGCGGAAUAUGUCAUGUAGCGGUGAAAUGCUUAGAUAUGACAUAGAACACCGAUUGCGAAGGCAGCUUGCUACACAGUGAUUGACGCUGA
This 700-nucleotide ribosomal RNA is filed under the name uncultured bacterium. RNAcentral describes it as "bacterial SSU rRNA". It matches the Rfam family "Bacterial small subunit ribosomal RNA", at positions 56 to 749 of the family's 1533-position model. The record is from RNAcentral.